This is a small nuclear RNA of Vombatus ursinus (common wombat), 102 nucleotides long. The record is from Ensembl. Lineage: Eukaryota; Metazoa; Chordata; Mammalia; Diprotodontia; Vombatidae.
UUUGGCAGCAUAUAUACACAGAUAAACCUGGAAUAAUACAGAAGAUUAGCGUGAACCCUGAGCAAAGGUGACACACAAAUUCAUGAAGCAUUCCAUAUUUUU